AAGUCGUAACAAGGUUUCCGUAGGUGAACCUGCGGAAGGAUCAUUACCAAAACAUAGCUGUCUGGUCGCAAGGCCGUGACGCUUCAACCCAUUGUGAACCAAAAAACCUUUCGCUUCGGCAGCAGGUCCGGUCGGGAACGGCCGGGACGUCAGCCUGCCGCUAGCACCAACACAAAAACUUGCAGUCAAAACAUUGUCUGACAACCAAAUUUUCGAAUGAAAAUUAAAACUUUCAACAACGGAUCUCUUGGUUCCCGCAUCGAUGAAGAACGCAGCGAAACGCGAUAGUUAAUGUGAAUUGCAGAAUUCAGUGAAUCAUCGAGUCUUUGAACGCACAUUGCGCCCAUUGGUAUUCCAUUGGGCAUGUCUGUUUGAGCGUCAUUACAACCCUCGGUACCAACCGGUUUUGAGCUGGCUCGGGCCUCACCGCCCCGCCUGCUUUAAAGUUGUAAGCUCUGCUGGCCGCUCUGCCCAACCAGAACAUAGUAAAGCACUACUUGUUCAACGGUACAGGCUGAGACGGUUCCGGCCUGAACAAAACCAAAUUUCUCAAGGUUUGACCUCAGAUCAGACAAGGAUACCCGCUGAACUUA
RNAcentral lists this ribosomal RNA (593 nucleotides) under uncultured fungus. Its description in RNAcentral is "eukaryotic LSU rRNA". The stretch from base 228 to 381 matches the Rfam family "5.8S ribosomal RNA". Lineage: Eukaryota; Fungi. The record is from RNAcentral.